GUUAAGCGACUAAGCGUACACGGUGGAUGCCCUGGCAGUCAGAGGCGAUGAAGGACGUGCUAAUCUGCGAUAAGCGUCGGUAAGGUGAUAUGAACCGUUAUAACCGGCGAUUUCCGAAUGGGGAAACCCAGUGUGAUUCGUCACACUAUCAUUACGUGAAUACAUAGCGUAAUGAAGCGAACCGGGGGAACUGAAACAUCUAAGUACCCCGAGGAAAAGAAAUCAACCGAGAUUCCCCCAGUAGCGGCGAGCGAACGGGGAGCAGCCCAGAGUCUGAAUCAGCUUGUGUGUUAGUGGAACGGUCUGGAAAGUCCGACGGUACAGGGUGAUAGUCCCGUACACCAAAAUGCACAGGUUGUGAACUCGAAGAGUAGGGCGGGACACGUGGUAUCCUGUCUGAAUAUGGGGGGACCAUCCUCCAAGGCUAAAUACUCCUGACUGACCGAUAGUGAACCAGUACCGUGAGGGAAAGGCGAAAAGAACCCCGGCGAGGGGAGUGAAAAAGAACCUGAAACCGU
Molecule: ribosomal RNA, 518 nt
Filed under: Citrobacter freundii
Lineage: Bacteria; Pseudomonadati; Pseudomonadota; Gammaproteobacteria; Enterobacterales; Enterobacteriaceae
Description: partial 23S ribosomal RNA
Rfam family: Bacterial large subunit ribosomal RNA
Source: RNAcentral